AGUUAAUGAACUUGAAUAAGUAUAUAUUUUGAAAAUAUAAUAUAGAGAAAUCUCUAUUAACUU
Molecule: transfer RNA, 63 nt
Filed under: Scydmaeninae sp. 840139
Lineage: Eukaryota; Metazoa; Arthropoda; Insecta; Coleoptera; Staphylinidae
Description: tRNA-Ser
Source: RNAcentral